CCGACAGAUAUAGACCAAUCAAGAACAGGAGAGAGAAACAGUUAACCAAAAGGAAAAAGGAAGCUCGAAACCUCCUCUUCUCCAUCGCAGACUGCGAUAUCCCCCUUCCCGAUCAGAUUUCUGGCAGCCAAACCACCGAAGCGAGGUGGCGAUCAACUUGCUGGACACCGGUGACCUCAGUUCCGGCCUCCCUUUUGCCGAUUGGAGCUUGACUAGGACUAAUAGAUGCUCUUUCUCCUGUGGUGCCGCUAGCCUCCUCCGACCCGCUUUUCCGACUUCUGGCGAGUCCCAAUCGGCAAGACUGCUAUCGGGAUGCUCCUCUCUUGCAGCUGACUCUUUCCUUCUCAACGAACAGACCUCCAAUAGCGCAAAUCGAAGCUGUGAGGAUUAGACAGCUUCCUUUCUUUGAUUUUUCGGCAAGCCAAGCCUUUCCGGUAGUCUCUUUUACUAAGAUGCUGUGAACAUUGGAUCCAUAUUCACUAAAAAGUCAUGGUUAUCAAGAAAACUCCAAAAGCCAUACCCAUUCCGAACCCAUCCUCUCCCAAACAAGGGAGAUGGUUUUGAAACUUAUUAAACCAUAUAAUUCCCUCUCAAAAUUACUCCCAAACAAAGGCUGAAACUGCAAUCCUGGGAAGAAGAAGAAGGAGCUGAGAGGAGAAAAGGAAACAGUAGGAGAAGAGGAGAAAACAAAAUGGAGGGAAGACUAAAAUACUUGUCAUUUAUUGGUGCUGGGGCUCUUUUGGGCUCUGUUUCUACUGUGGUUCUUCUCAAGCAUCUUCCAAGAAAGAUUGUUGGCAAAAGCAGCGAAAAGGCUAUGGAAUUAAAUGGGAAAGGACAUGAAUCAAUGUCACUUGGAAGAUGCUCAGUCACUCAAGAUAUGGAUUGUAUGGUUCCUGGUCCUGACCUUUUAAGUGAUGAAAUAGUUUCUGAACAACUGACCAGGAACAUCCAAUUCUUUGGCCUCGAUUCUCAAUGCAAGGUAGCUGCAUCCUAUGUUGUUGUCAUUGGUCUUGGAGGCGUUGGGAGUCAUGCUGCUUCUAUGCUUCUGAGGUCGGGAAUUGGGAAGCUUCUCCUUGUAGACUUUGAUCAGGUUUCUCUUUCAUCCUUAAAUCGACAUGCUGUUGCAACACGAGCAGAUGUUGGUAUUCCUAAAGCUGAGUGCCUCAAGAAGCAUUUCUCAUCGAUCUUUCCAGAGUGCCAUAUAGGAGCAAAAGUACUAUUAUAUGAUACAGCAUCUGAGGAGGAAAUUCUUUCAGGCAACCCUGACUUUGUUUUGGAUUGUAUUGAUAACAUUGAUACAAAGGUGGCACUUCUUGCUGCAUGUGUACGUAGGGGUUUGAAGGUUAUAUCUGCAACUGGAGCUGGUGCUAGAGCUGACCCAACAAGAAUCCGUGUGGCUGAUUUAAGAGAGUCAACAAAUGACCCAUUAUCUCGAUCCGUAAGACACCGUCUGAGGAAAGAUUAUGGCAUUGAUAGUGGCAUCCCUGUUGUCUUCUCCCUUGAAAAACCUAAAGCCAAGCUGCUUCCAUUCAAGGGCCCAAGUGGAGAAGAUAAUCCUUCUGAUUAUCAGAUAGUUCCAGGUUUUAGGGUUCGCAUAAUACCUGUCCUGGGUACCAUCCCUGCGAUCUUUGGACAAGUCAUGGCCUCGUACGUUGUGACACAACUUGCUGGGUUGCAAGUUGAGAUGGAACCUAUUGUGAACUUUGAUUCGGAUCAUUACAGGAUGCUUCAUCAGCGUCUUGUUGAGCAUGAGGAAUCAUUAUAUGGGACAGCUAUGGAAGUGCAGGUAGACAUUGAUGAGGUGAAGUAUAUUGCAAAAGAGUUGUGGCAUGGGCGAAGUGCUAGGGAACAGUCUGCAAAAGAAGUUGGACGUGGAAUGUGGAGAUCCAUUAAUGAGUUAAUGCUUGUGAGUUCAAGUGAUAUUUUCAUCAAAUUCAUGGAUACUCGGUGGCAUUCCUGGAAGUCUAUAUGUUUCAAAGCUCAUAAAUGGUCUACUAAUCAAAUUGUUAACUGACAUGAUUUCCUCAAUAAAGUGGGAUAGGACAAAGCCAGCAUCAGUGUCAAACUUAAUUCUUUUAAAAUUUAAAGAGGCCGAUGAACAUGAAUCGAAGACACUGGAGGAUAUCAAGGAAAAGGAACAAGAAUUCUACGAGAGGGUCACAUCUGUUCUAAGGAAAGCUGAAUUGGAGUUUAGCUAGCGAGUUCUUUUGCAUUUGAGUAAGGUGCACGCAAAUCCAGAUGAAGAGAGGCCAGCUUUUCGAUAACAUGGAGUUCGACAUGAAUUUCAGGUUUAUGUUCCCCUUCCUGAUAUACCAAUAAGUAGCAUAAUGAUUUUGUUCAUGUUUGUGAAAGGUCAACCCAGAGUAUGUAAUAUUAAUGCGGCAUGUAAUCUGGGGAAAACUAAACUCAAAUCCUUGGGAGCCAAGGACACCGUGAGGCUAUAUGGAAUAGAAAUUGUUCUCUGAUCUCAGUUUUCAGGGGAAGGCAGUUAAAUUUUAUGGGUAUAUUAGAGAGCUUUCUUUACAUGGACAAAAAAAAUUUUCUCCUCAUUUGUGGAAUUUUUGAAAGGACAGGAAAAUGAUUUGAUGAUUUUGUAGGUUGGAUUUACUUCUGAAAAUAUGACAGUUGAAAGAAUCAAAUUGCAUUCCUGAAGGAUAUUUUUUGCUCCA
Jatropha curcas is the source of this 2669-nucleotide non-coding RNA. NCBI's taxonomy places the organism in Eukaryota, Viridiplantae, Streptophyta, Magnoliopsida, Malpighiales, Euphorbiaceae. The record is from RefSeq and is a predicted model, not a curated record.